This 71-nucleotide transfer RNA is filed under the name Bos taurus (domestic cattle). It matches the Rfam family "tRNA". Rfam says of the family: Transfer RNA (tRNA) molecules are approximately 80 nucleotides in length. Their secondary structure includes four short double-helical elements and three loops (D, anti-codon, and T loops). Further hydrogen bonds mediate the characteristic L-shaped molecular structure. tRNAs have two regions of fundamental functional importance: the anti-codon, which is responsible for specific mRNA codon recognition, and the 3' end, to which the tRNAs corresponding amino acid is attached (by aminoacyl-tRNA synthetases). tRNAs cope with the degeneracy of the genetic code in two manners: having more than one tRNA (with a specific anti-codon) for a particular amino acid; and 'wobble' base-pairing, i.e. permitting non-standard base-pairing at the 3rd anti-codon position. The record is from Rfam by way of RNAcentral. Lineage: Eukaryota; Metazoa; Chordata; Mammalia; Artiodactyla; Bovidae. RNAcentral also lists the same sequence under 1 other name.
UCCCUGGUAGUUCAGUGGUAAAGAAUCUGCCUACAAUGCAGGAGACCCGGGUUUGAGCCCUGGGUAGGGAA